This 1259-nucleotide long non-coding RNA is filed under the name Felis catus (domestic cat). RNAcentral's name for it is "lncRNA (ENSFCAG00000050486.1)". Lineage: Eukaryota; Metazoa; Chordata; Mammalia; Carnivora; Felidae. The record is from RNAcentral.
CGUGGCUUUAGAUAGCCUCCAUCUAAUUGUAGGCAGAGAGAUGGACAAGGUCCCCCCCGCCCCCAGGGUCCUUUCAACCUUCCAGCCCAUUUGAGCUGAAGGAGAUGAGAAAUAAUUCAAAGAGAAACAAGAAUCCACGAACCGACUUUGCAGACUUGAAUUCUCUUCCCCACGCUUGCUGUCACCUCCGUGUGCCUCCCCCUGACCACCGUACCGUCAUCCGGAGCUGCGGGUUUAGGAUUCUGGAGGCUUCCUGAGAAUAGCAAAUUACGAAUAAGCAGGGUGUGUGUUUGAUGGAAUACCAUUUUCCAAACCGAAUAUAAGAGUAGGUAACCAUUUUGAAGAGAAAGGUUCUGGAGCCUUCAAAGGAUUUUCCCUAGGGAUCAGACAGACGGCUGCUUUUUACUCCUAGCUGCUUCCCAGGGAUGACUUCUGCUCUUAGGUAGCGUUUACCGAUCAUUUCCUACGUACUCAGCACUGUGCUUGGAGCUGGGGGCUCACCUCAGUCUUCACAAAACCCCCUUUCACGGGAAUCCUUACUCCCAUUUUGUAGAUGCAGAAACAGAUUUAGAGAAGUUAAAGGAUGGCCUGACUCCCCAGGGCUCUGCCUCACUUCUGCCUCCUCCGUCUAUUCUGAGCUGCAGUUGGGACGCCCCCUUGGUUCUUAGCAAUCAAAUAUGUUAAGGGAAGGAACACUGAUUUUAAUGAACCAACCCACAAGCGUUGCGUAAUUUGAAAGUUGUGGCCCCUGAAUGAGCGCUUCCAGGGAGAAGCUACUAGAAGCCCUGGCUAAUCAGACACCUGCCUGCCUGCAUUCCAGCUAAUGAUCACAAACCAAAGGCAGAGGGAGCACAGGUUUUAAGAUUGAUGAAAACGGGGACGACGCGGCAUCAUACUGGUACAACGGACUUUUUAUUGUAGUUGUUGUUUAAGUGCAAAGGAAGGCUGGUGGUACCUGAUAAAUAGAAAAGGCAAGAGUCUACUACGGACCAGGAGCGGAAAACCACGGACGCUUCUGAGAGUAAUUAAUCCCCACUGCACAGUCUCCUGUGCAGAGUUUGGAGGAAAAACUCUUCAGCAGAGUUUGGAGGAAAAGCCUUCAUUUGGAGCAAAUAGGGACCAAGGAGGCCUCACACAUAAAUGGCGCACCUGGAUCCCUGACAGACUUCAGGGAAUUUUGGAAUAAGCAUCUGAAACAAAGGUGAGUUGCAUUAAGCUAUUGAGAUUUGGGGCGUGUUUGUCACAGCAGCACAACCUAU